This 465-nucleotide ribosomal RNA is filed under the name uncultured Klebsiella sp. RNAcentral describes it as "bacterial SSU rRNA". It matches the Rfam family "Bacterial small subunit ribosomal RNA", at positions 338 to 795 of the family's 1533-position model. Lineage: Bacteria; Pseudomonadati; Pseudomonadota; Gammaproteobacteria; Enterobacterales; Enterobacteriaceae. The record is from RNAcentral.
CCUACGGGUGGCUGCAGUGGGGAAUAUUGCACAAUGGGCGCAAGCCUGAUGCAGCCAUGCCGCGUGUGUGAAGAAGGCCUUCGGGUUGUAAAGCACUUUCAGCGGGGAGGAAGGCGUUAAGGUUAAUAACCUUGUCGAUUGACGUUACCCGCAGAAGAAGCACCGGCUAACUCCGUGCCAGCAGCCGCGGUAAUACGGAGGGUGCAAGCGUUAAUCGGAAUUACUGGGCGUAAAGCGCACGCAGGCGGUCUGUCAAGUCGGAUGUGAAGUCCCCGGGCUCAACCUGGGAACUGCAUUCGAAACUGGCAGGCUAGAGUCUUGUAGAGGGGGGUAGAAUUCCAGGUGUAGCGGUGAAAUGCGUAGAGAUCUGGAGGAAUACCGGUGGCGAAGGCGGCCCCCUGGACAAAGACUGACGCUCAGGUGCGAAAGCGUGGGGAGCAAACAGGAUUAGAUACCCCGGUAGUC